Sitodiplosis mosellana (orange wheat blossom midge) is the source of this 1194-nucleotide long non-coding RNA. RefSeq lists it as uncharacterized. The transcript is spliced from 2 exons. The record is from RefSeq and is a predicted model, not a curated record. NCBI's taxonomy places the organism in Eukaryota, Metazoa, Arthropoda, Insecta, Diptera, Cecidomyiidae.
AGUUUAUGCUUUUGAUUCGCAAGAGAAAUUCAAUUUUGCGAGAAAAUUUAAUUGAUAACUUUUUAAGCGUACAUAUGUGUGACUCAUUUCCUCGUCAUAAUUUGCUAUAAAAGCACCAAUUCGCAGAAGAAUUUCAGUUCAUCUACGGCCAUAAAGCGAUUGGUGCACAUAAAUCUCUUCUAUAGUUGUGAAAAACGUCAACGCAAAAAAUAUUUGUUUCAAAAAGUGUAAUUAAAAAAACUAACAAAAUUAUGAAACAAAUUAUUGGAAUAUUUAUAGUGGGAAUCGCUCUCUGCGUAAACGGUGUAUACAGUGAAUCUCCUGCUCCUGCUUCUGUCCCUACUCCUAAUGUCAACUCAAAGGAUGAAUGGCAUGUGAACUGUACCUCGACUCCAGUCGAUGGAGCCAAUGUGAAAUGUAAAAUGAACAACACCAUCGACGUGGACUGUAUUCAGCGGAAUCAAAACAUUACUAUACUGAACUGUGAAUCUGUAGGCAAAACACAAACAUACAAUUUAAGUUGUACCACUUCAAAAACAGAUAAACAGAACAUCUCAUACAAUUGUGUUCAUGUUCACGCCAAAGGAAAUUCCCCCACAACACUUUUACCAAACCAAUCAACAGGAAAACCAACAGCCGCACCAACCUCCAAACCAACCACACCGGAAACUAAUGGUGCAGGGCCAUUAGUAUUAUCAGCUAUAACUCUAAUGUUUGCAUUGUUUCUUUGCCUUGAAACAGGAGCUUGAAUUUUAUUAUUAAAAUAUUCAAUAUAUUCUAAUAAUUGGUUCUGUCAUACAAUGUCCUGACACAAUUUUAAUCCACAUCACGUUAAAAGUUAAUCUCUGAUUGGUAUUGUUAUAUCGAGAGAAAAAAAUGUAUUAAAACAUGAUUGAAACUUAUCCUACGAAAUAUUUGUUUAUGUACUGCUAAUUAUGAUUUGUUUGAAGUCUUCAGAAGAAUGCUGUUGAAACCGGCUGUUAUUUUCCGAACUAAAAAUGGAAGGCUUUAUUUCCAAAUUUUGAAUUUUGAGUCAUUAACUCAUAAUUCCAUUUUGAUUUCGUUUAUAACAUCCCUAUUGUGCUCAUUAUUAGAUAUCUCAUUGAUUUCGGUACUGUUGAUUAAAAUAAAUAAACUUAGUUUAGAAAGUGUUCAAUUGAAUAAAAUUUGAUUUCCCGUCUAGAGAUGCUAUGU